Fundulus heteroclitus (mummichog) is the source of this 604-nucleotide long non-coding RNA. RefSeq lists it as uncharacterized. Lineage: Eukaryota; Metazoa; Chordata; Actinopteri; Cyprinodontiformes; Fundulidae. The transcript has 4 exons. The record is from RefSeq and is a predicted model, not a curated record.
GCUGCUGGAGGCGAUGACUGCUUGAGCUGGCUGAUGUUGGCGAAGGAUGGUGAUGGCGGCUGCUGGCGCUGGCAGCUGGUGCUGGCCAUGGCUGCUGGUGGCGACUGCUGACUGCUGGAAUAAGAGGAGACUUGAGGCUGUGGAGACUGCGGACGGUGUGCCGGGAAUGGAGUGGCCGAGUACAUCCAUGGCAACCAGUAAGGUGUUCGUCAGUGGCCUAGAUGGUAUGACCUUAGGUGAGGAGGUCUGCUGUGUGGAAAUCGCCUUCUUGGUCUGACUCUUGCUGCCAAGCUGUUCCACUACGUUGGAGGAUUCCAUAAGGGAAUCACUCGUCUGGGAACGGAAGAGGUGCUCCACGUGCUGCAGGAGAGUGAACAGCUCAUCGGAUGGCCGAGCGAGAAGCUGAUGACCCUCUUCGCUACGUAUCCAGCCAGGUGGUAGAGGACACAAGACUCGGUCUUUGUGAGGUCAGGUGGUGAUGGGUCUACCAGCUGCUCCACUCUCACAACCUCAGAAGCACUGCAGUUGCUGUUCUUGUUGUCCAAGAAGUCCGCCAAGUGGUCUGAUGCAUCUUCCAGAUCUUCCUGGAUCUCCAGGAUCGUUG